RNAcentral lists this long non-coding RNA (974 nucleotides) under Mytilus galloprovincialis (Mediterranean mussel). The record is from RNAcentral. Lineage: Eukaryota; Metazoa; Mollusca; Bivalvia; Mytilida; Mytilidae.
GGACCAAAACUCCCAAAAUCAAUCCAAACCUUCCUUUCGUGGUCAUAAACCCUGUAUAAAAGUUUCAUAGAUUUCUAUUAACUUAUACUAAAGUUAUUGUGCAAAAACCAAGAAAAAUGCUAAUUUGGGACCUGUUUUUGCCCCUAAUUCCUAAACUGUUUGGACUAAAACUCCUAAAAUCAAUCCCUACCUUUCUUUUGUGGUCAUAGACCUUAUGUUAAAAUUUCAUAGAUUUCUGUUUACUUAUGCAAAAGUUAUUGUGCGAAAACCAAGAAAAUGCUUAUUAUGCCCUUUUUGGCCCCUAUUCCUAAACUGUUGGGACACCCAAACCAAUCCCACCUUCCUUUUAUAGUCAUAAACCUUGUGUUUUAAUAAGUUAGAGUGCGAAAACCAAAUUCUUCGAACCCAACGUGAUAUCCAAUAAUAUACGACAAAAAAUGUCGUAUAAAAACCUGUUAUUGUUAUACAUGUAUUGCUUUUGAAUUAACAUAAAAAUAUAUAUUAAGAAAACAAAGUUAUAAAUAAUAUUGAUGAAAUACAAAACUACAUAAACUAUUUGAAUAAAAUAAAUGAAAUGUAUAUGUAAAGUAACAAAAGAAGACACACAAACUUAAAUAGAGGUCAACUAAAAAUCUCAGUGAUAAAGAACUAGAGGCUCUCAAGAGCCUGUAUUGCUCACCUGUUACUGUAUUUACUGAUGUCGGCCAUCUUGUUUGGUAGGUGGGGUCAUUAGAGACUUUUUUUAAAUAGAUACCCUAGUAAUGAUUGUGGCCAAGUUUGGUUAAAUUUGGCCGAUAGUUUUAGAGAAGAAGAUUUUUGUACAAGUUACAAAAAUGACAAAAGUUGUUCAAUAUUGACUAUAAAGGGCAAUAACUCCUAAAGGGGUCCUCUUACAAUUUUGAUCAUGUUGACUUAUUUGUAGAUCUUACUUUGCUGAACAUUAUUGCUGUUUACAGUUUAUCUCUAUCUAUAAU